RNAcentral lists this ribosomal RNA (253 nucleotides) under uncultured bacterium. Its description in RNAcentral is "partial 16S ribosomal RNA". It matches the Rfam family "Bacterial small subunit ribosomal RNA", at positions 524 to 776 of the family's 1533-position model. The record is from RNAcentral.
UACAGAGGGGGCAAGCGUUGUUUGGAAUUACUGGGCGUAAAGGGCGCGUAGGCGGCCCGCUAAGUCGAACGUGAAAUCCCCGAGCUCAACUCGGGAACUGCGUCCGAUACUGGUGGGCUUGAAUCCGGGAGAGGGAUGCGGAAUUCCAGGUGUAGCGGUGAAAUGCGCAGAUAUCAGGAAGAACACCCGUGGCGAAGGCGGCUCUCUGGGACGGUACUGACGCUGAGACGCGAAAGCGUGGGGAGCGAACAGG